This 28-nucleotide non-coding RNA is filed under the name Bombyx mori (domestic silkworm). The record is from RNAcentral. Lineage: Eukaryota; Metazoa; Arthropoda; Insecta; Lepidoptera; Bombycidae.
UACUGUAUAAAUUCCAAAUGUGAUCAGC